RNAcentral lists this long non-coding RNA (525 nucleotides) under Mytilus galloprovincialis (Mediterranean mussel). Lineage: Eukaryota; Metazoa; Mollusca; Bivalvia; Mytilida; Mytilidae. The record is from RNAcentral.
AGGCACCUAGAAUAUCAACAAACCGAGCAGUGAUGUGCAAAACACUUUUGAGGUUAUUCUUAAUUCUUUAUGUUGGUCAGACUAUCAGAAAAAAACAUAACUUCCUCAUUCAAGAGGCAUCUGAAAAAUUAAACAAAUGUAGCAACAACUGAUUGGGUACCAAUAAACAUUAUUUGAAAAUUUUAAAUCAACACCAAAAUAUUUGUUAAAUCAUAAAUUGUACAUAAAGUCAAUUAACAGAUAAAGACUCGCAAUUAAAUAGUAUGAAUUUUGUUAUAUCAAUUAAAAUAAUGACAAACCUGGAAUUGUUCAAUGGAAUCAAUUAAGAACUUAUACAUGUUAAAGAGUGUUUUAAAAUGAUCGUAUUCUUGAAAAAUGUCAAAACAUAAAUAAGUUAACCAAAAUUUAGAAUCAGUGCUCAUUAACUUGAAAUAGUAAAAAGAAGACACAACGGAAUGCAGAUUCUGUAAAUUACAAUGACAUUGUGGAGGAUGAAAUUCAUGACUUGGAUGUCCGUCGCAUAAA